GCGUAGCUCCAGUGGGAGGAAGUUCUCUUAACAUAGUUUUAAUCCUGUUUAGGCUGUCCCGUUAGUAACAGAUGGACAAGAACAACAACUUUGAGGUGUCUGUUGAGACCUGUACAGUAAAUUACUCAUGAAACCAAGGCCACAAAGUUGUACUGAAACUACUUUACUCACUGCCCAAAAUGAAGGAUUCAUAGAUCAGGCAAAACAAUGGCACUCAUUCUAGAGAGAAAUCUAUUUUUUAAAAAUCAAUCUAAUAUAUGUAAGUUUGAAAGUCCAGUUUCAAUACGAGCUGAAGCUGCAUGUUAAUGGUGAAAGUAACAUCCUUUUAAAUGCAAUUACCCACAUUUACCCUGGCAGUCUCUACCACGAGAAAAUAUUAAAAACUGACUCAAUACCUUUGAGGGUGUGAUACAAGCUUGAAAAUGUAAUUGAGAAGUAAGGCUUAUAGUCCUUCGUUAAUGCAUGCUAAUGUGACUUUGCUGCAUAAUGCCAUAUGAGGAAGGCUUUCACUAGUUUCUUUCAACUACUUUAAACAUCACCUUUGAAAAUGCGUUUGAAUUGGUUAUUCUCUCUGCUGCAUAAUAUCCAGUGAAGUCGGGUAUCUCAUGCACAGAUUGGUAUUUACUGGUUUUCAUAUAAGGCUGUUAGUACAUGGGGAAAAGUUGCUAGACAUGUGUUUAUAUUAAUAAAUAAUUCUUAAAUACCA
Long non-coding RNA from Pezoporus flaviventris, 706 nucleotides. RefSeq lists it as uncharacterized. The transcript has 2 exons. The record is from RefSeq and is a predicted model, not a curated record. NCBI's taxonomy places the organism in Eukaryota, Metazoa, Chordata, Aves, Psittaciformes, Psittacidae.